UUCCAGACUCCUACGGGAGGCAGCCGUGGGGGAUAUUGGACAAUGGGGGAACCCCUGAUCCAGCGCCUCCUCGUGAGUGCAGCAGUAUUUCGGUCUGUCCAGCUCUGUCAUCCUGGAAGAAAGCCCUGACGGUACCUUCUCCAGAAGCCCCUGCUCACUACGUUCCCGCCGCCGCGGUCCUCCGUAGGGGGCCCUCGUUAUCCGGAGUUCCUGGGUGUAAAGGGAGCGCAGGCGGCGUGGCAAGUCAGAUGUGAAAACCCGGGGCACAACCCCGGGAGUGCAUUUGAAACUGCCAUGCUGGAGUGCCGGAGAGGGAAGCGGAAUUCCUAGUGUAGCGGUGAAAUGCGUAGAGAUGAGGAGGAACACCAGUGGCGGAGGCGGCUGACUGGACGGUAACUGACGCUGAGGCUCGAAAGCGUGGGGAGCAAACAGGAUUAGAUACCCGAGUAA
This 450-nucleotide ribosomal RNA is filed under the name uncultured bacterium. Its description in RNAcentral is "bacterial SSU rRNA". It matches the Rfam family "Bacterial small subunit ribosomal RNA", at positions 329 to 793 of the family's 1533-position model. The record is from RNAcentral.